UACGUAGGGGGCAAGCGUUGUCCGGAUUUAUUGGGCGUAAAGAGCGUGUAGGCGGUUAUACAGGUCCGCUGUGAAAACUCGAGGCUCAACCUCGAGACGUCGGUGGAAACCGUAUGGCUAGAGUCCGGAAGAGGAGAGUGGAAUUCCUGGUGUAGCGGUGAAAUGCGCAGAUAUCAGGAAGAACACCCGUGGCGAAGGCGGCUCUCUGGGACGGUACUGACGCUGAGACGCGAAAGCGUGGGGAGCAAACAGG
This 253-nucleotide ribosomal RNA is filed under the name uncultured bacterium. RNAcentral's name for it is "partial 16S ribosomal RNA". It matches the Rfam family "Bacterial small subunit ribosomal RNA", at positions 524 to 776 of the family's 1533-position model. The record is from RNAcentral.